RNAcentral lists this ribosomal RNA (482 nucleotides) under uncultured bacterium. RNAcentral's name for it is "partial 16S ribosomal RNA". It matches the Rfam family "Bacterial small subunit ribosomal RNA", at positions 30 to 507 of the family's 1533-position model. The record is from RNAcentral.
AUUGAACGCUGGCGGCAUGCCUUACACAUGCAAGUCGAACGGUAACAGGUCUUCGGUUGCUGACGAGUGGCGAACGGGUGCGUAAUACAUCGGAACGUGCCCGAUCGUGGGGGAUAACGAAGCGAAAGCUUUGCUAAUACCGCAUACGAUCUACGGUUGAAAGCGGGGGAUCUUCGGACCUCGCGCGGACGGUGCGGCCGAUGGCAGAUUAGGUAGUUGGUGGGAUAAAAGCUUACCAAGCCGACGAUCUGUAGCUGGUCUGAGAGGAUGAUCAGCCACACUGGGACUGAGACACGGCCCAGACUCCUACGGGAGGCAGCAGUGGGGAAUUUUGGGCAAUGGGCGCAAGCCUGAUCCAGCCAUGCCGCGUGCAGGAUGAAGGCCUUCGGGUUGUAAACUGCUUUUGUACGGAACGAAAAGGUGCCUUCUAAUAAAGGGCGCUCAUGACGGUACCGUAAGAAUAAGCACCGGCUAACUACGUG